GUGGGGAAUAUUGGACAAUGGGCGAAAGCCUGAUCCAGCCAUGCCGCGUGUGUGAAGAAGGUCUUCGGAUUGUAAAGCACUUUAAGUUGGGAGGAAGGGCAGUAAGUUAAUACCUUGCUGUUUUGACGUUACCAACAGAAUAAGCACCGGCUAACUUCGUGCCAGCAGCCGCGGUAAUACGAAGGGUGCAAGCGUUAAUCGGAAUUACUGGGCGUAAAGCGCGCGUAGGUGGUUCAGCAAGUUGAAGGUGAAAUCCCCGGGCUCAACCUGGGAACUGCCUCCAAAACUACUGAGCUAGAGUACGGUAGAGGGUAGUGGAAUUUCCUGUGUAGCGGUGAAAUGCGUAGAUAUAGGAAGGAACACCAGUGGCGAAGGCGACUACCUGGACUGAUACUGACACUGAGGUGCGAAAGCGUGGGGAGCAAACAGGAUUAGAAACCCCAGUAGUCC
RNAcentral lists this ribosomal RNA (450 nucleotides) under uncultured bacterium. RNAcentral's name for it is "bacterial SSU rRNA". It matches the Rfam family "Bacterial small subunit ribosomal RNA", at positions 354 to 796 of the family's 1533-position model. The record is from RNAcentral.